GCAAUAGGGAGUCACUCACAGGCUUGGCUUGUGCUGCGCCUGUAGUAAUUAACCCCUUCAUCCCUAGCUUUUCCUCCGCUGGAAGUUAGCCACGGCGUGGGCGGAGGCAUCAGCAGGUCUCUCUGGGACUCGAAGCAAAGCGGGGGAGCAGAGCAGGCAGGGAAAUAAGGGAAAAGAGGCCAAGAGCUGCUCCAGGCAGAGCAGCGCUGUGUGCCUGGAGCAGUCCACUCGUGGGCUGGACAGCUUUCCUGGGAGAGACAGAGUGCUGGCACUGCAGGGCCUGAGGGCCGUUACGAUUUUACGGAGCACUCGGAGGAACAUUACUGGGGUGAGCUGGGGAACUCAAAAUGUGAAAAUUACUCUCCAAAGAAAGUUUGGCAUUAAAGUUUGAGAAACCAGGCAAGUCAACCCUGCAGUCCUGAAGGCCUGAAGCCCAGCAGGACCCAGCCCAACAUGACAAGGAAGAUGUUCUGCCCUUGCUGAGCUUUGGAAGGACUGCUCUGCAUGAAUCCUGGAUGUCCGUGAAUAGAUGAAAUUGAAAUUGAAGGAUACCUUCCAAACUGGUAAACACAUCAGAAACACUAUCUGGGUCACAUUUGGGCAACAGGGUUCGCUCUGUUUUAAGUGCAAAUGUGUUACUGACAAUUUAGAUGAACUUCCUGAGGAGUGUUUGAAAUUCCUGGCACAUAUUUGGUUUCCCAUCUGCUAGAAGGUCUUUGAUGAGCCCACAAAGAGACACUGGACUGGAGCUGCUACUCUUCAUCUCUGGUUGGACUUCCUAUGACUGACCAAUUUGUAUUUUUUUUGCAUUUCUAUUACUUUGAUUCCCAAGGAGAAAAAGGGCUUACAAAGGACUGUGUGACAAGCUGUUGGGGCAGAGAUUUCUGUGAACUCUCCAUCCAUGUGCUGUCAUCAACUUGUUCCAACACUGCCAGUUCUUUAUGUCUGCUAAAAUUGUUAUGCAGAGUUGAAUUUUGCCCUUGUUCAGGGCAGAUCUAACAGUAAUUAAUUUGCUCUGUCAGAGGGAACUUGAGGCUAAACUGGGUUAAAGAUCCUAAAAACUUUCUGCCUUCUCCUGAAGUGUCCCAUGUUUAAUGUGUAAAUAGAUGAUGUGUUCUUUUCUUUCAUGCCCUUCUUCACCUGUUAAAAAAUAUCUUAUAAGGAGCUUGUGUUGUAACAUACCAAACAUACCAAAACACAAUAUCCAGUUGAAUUCAAAUUCAAUAUUUUCUAUUUUUUAGAGCAGAAGAGAGCCAUGGCAGGAGGGCAGGGGCACCAGAGUUUUGGAAAGGAAUUUUUUUCAGGAAUGGAAGCAAGAGUCCUGUUGACAGAGCUUGAAGUACUUCUUCUUCACACAUAGAAAAAUCAGGAGCUUGUGUCUUUGCAAUGCUUCUCAAGAGAUCCCCCUUGCAGGAGAAAGGUUCCCACAAGUGCCAUCCCCUGGGCAGAGCUGCAGCACAGCUCCGGAGAGACUCAGCAGCUGGGAGAGAUGAGGUUCAGGGGACCAAGCUGCUCUUCCAGCAUGGAAGAAAUGACAAAGUGGGGUAUGUUCUCUAUUGACCAUCUCCUGCUCCAUGGUAUCAUAAUUUUGCAGUAGUGCCUUGUCUUUUCAACUCAAUAUCCUGCCUCUGGACACCUCCUGAGACGUGUCACGACCUGAACUUGCUGAGCAGUGCUUCUGCCUGAGAGCUGCCUCCCAAGCCACAGCAGAGCUGGUAGCCCUGGCAAGGGUGAAAGGAGGGCUCAGACAUGAUGAUGCUGUUCUACACACAGGUGAGCAUAGGGCAUGUAUAUAAAACCACAGUAAAUGUUUGCUGAGACCUCACCCCCAAGUUAAUAGCUUCUGCCUCUGGUGGGAAUUUCUGCAUUUUCUUCUGCUGAGUGCCUUUUGACAUAUUAAAGGCAUGGCAAGGACUGGGAUCCCAAGGGAUCCAUUGGUCUUAUUUCUGUGGAUGCUUGUACCCUGGGUCUAUUUGAAGAAGGAUGAUUCAUUCAACUGCUUGGGCUUAUGGGUCUGUGUGUCACUUCCCAUUGUAAGAAGGGUCUUGUUGGCUAUCAUGGACUGGUUGGGGCUAAUUUUGGGAUAGAUCUAGCACGGAAAAAAUGCUUUACGCAGCAAGACAACAGCUGAUUCAGUUUCUUCUGUGUUGGAUGCCGGUGUUUAGAGUCUCCAAGGCAGGAACUUUUAUCAAGCAACAUCAAACAGAUGUUCCUCAUCGUGUUCCAGCUGCAUUGACUGGCAACCUGCUCAGUCAAACACUGGAGGGGGACACAGGCAUUCAUUCUGCAUGGACAGCAGUUUAUUAAACAAUCCACCUGGAAACAGCAAAGGAUCUUUUAAAAGAAGUAUCUGUACCAGUGUUCAUUGUAAAUGCACCAGAAGCACUUGUAGUCAUGGCACUCACAAGAGCCAUUUCCAGGAAGGGGCCUGAGUUACUGAUUUUGCAGGAAAAGUGAAGAAAGUUUUCUCUGGAUUUUCACACCUGCUGGUCAUGGUAUGAAUCCACACUGGCAACAUCUUUCUGAUGGGGUGCGUGGUGAACUAUGGCACUGCAGGAUACUGCUAAGCAUUGUGGUUUGGGAUGGCCGAAGGGGGAGUGAUCAGCAUCAAAAUCCCAGGGUUUUCCAUUGUUGAUCUAAAGAAAAGGCCCCUCUUAGUGGCCAUGAACUUCAGCAGAUGUUUCUGGGCCAUCCAGAUGCAAAGAUGUAAGUGUGUUGUUCCCAGAGGUAACACCUUCACAGGGAUGUUGCAGGAACUGAAGAGGUUAGGAGAGAUUUGGAGAGUGGGGCAAUAUCAGACAUCAGUGAGUGUCAGCUCAGGUGAUUGUUUCAGGGUUCUGCCCUGUCUGGACCCCAAAGCAGGGCACUAAACCAGCCCUGUUUGCUGGCUGCCAUGGCUGUGCUGGUUCCCAUUGCUGGCACAAGCACAUCUGUGCUGCUUUGUGUGCAGGGCAUGCAUUAGGGGGUGGCCCUGGACAUCUGGACUCUCCAGCUCCAAGGCAUGGCCAGAGGAUUUGCCAUCGUGUGCUGCACAGGCAGGACAAGAGCUCUUCGCAGGCUGAGUGAAGGCAGCCUGGAAUUUCCUUCAGAAACCUUCAUGCCUCACCAGCACUGCCUGGGGUUGUGCUGGAAACUGCUGGUGACAGCUUUCUUUGGACAUCUGCUUAUCCAGAAAGACCGGAGUUUUGGGUCCAGCGGAGAGUAACUGACGUGGAGCCAAAGGGAACAUCUCCAUCCACAGUGUGGGAAGGUGAGAGGUCUUCCUGCAGGUAGAAUGUGUCCAAUAUGAUGCUGCUUCAACUGCUUUGAGAGUUGUGGGCUACUUUGAGAGAGGCACAGGUGGAACUAGAGCACAGGACCCUGCAAAGUGACUCUCUGCAGCUGCCACUGCUGGAACCACACCUCAGCCCCCACUACAGCUGGAACUGCACAUCAGCCCCCAAAGUACAGCAUGCUCUAAGGGUGUAGUUGAUCUAAGGCUGAUUGCUCCAAAUC
This is a long non-coding RNA of Hirundo rustica (Barn swallow), 3495 nucleotides long. RefSeq lists it as uncharacterized. The transcript has 4 exons. NCBI's taxonomy places the organism in Eukaryota, Metazoa, Chordata, Aves, Passeriformes, Hirundinidae. The record is from RefSeq and is a predicted model, not a curated record.